Molecule: ribosomal RNA, 234 nt
Filed under: uncultured bacterium
Lineage: Bacteria
Description: partial 16S ribosomal RNA
Rfam family: Bacterial small subunit ribosomal RNA
Source: RNAcentral
UGGGCAACCUGCCCCUCUCUCUGGGAUAACCCCCGGGGAAACCGGAGCUAAUACCGGAUACUCUCGGCCGAUCACAUGGCUGGCCGAGGAAAGGUCCGCCGGUCAGGGAUGGGCCCGCGGCCUAUCAGCUUGUUGGCGAGGUAACGGCUCACCAAGGCGACGACGGGUAGCUGGUCUGAGAGGACGACCAGCCACACUGGAACUGAGAUACGAUCCAGACUCCGUACGGGAGCA